GCCGAGAUCGCAUAGCCUGGUAUCGCGCUCGACUGGAAAUCGAGUGGGUCCGUCCCGCGAGAGUUCAAAUCUCUCUCUCGGCG
This 83-nucleotide transfer RNA is filed under the name Methanobacteriota archaeon. Its description in RNAcentral is "Euryarchaeota archaeon tRNA-Ser". It matches the Rfam family "tRNA". From Rfam's summary of the family: Transfer RNA (tRNA) molecules are approximately 80 nucleotides in length. Their secondary structure includes four short double-helical elements and three loops (D, anti-codon, and T loops). The record is from RNAcentral. Lineage: Archaea; Methanobacteriati; Methanobacteriota. RNAcentral also lists the same sequence under 1 other name.